UACACAGGUGAGCUUUAUUAGAACGCGGC
RNAcentral lists this non-coding RNA (29 nucleotides) under Homo sapiens (human). The record is from RNAcentral. Lineage: Eukaryota; Metazoa; Chordata; Mammalia; Primates; Hominidae.